UACGUAGGUGGCAAGCGUUGUCCGGAUUUAUUGGGUUUAAAGGGUGCGUAGGCGGCCCUGUAAGUCAGUGCUGAAAUAUCCCAGCUUAACUGGGAGGGUGGCAUUGAUACUGCGGGGCUAGAGUACAGAUGAGGUAGGCGGAAUUGACGGUGUAGCGGUGAAAUGCUUAGGUAUCGUCAAGAACACCUAUAGCGAAGGCAGCUUACUAGGCUGUAACUGACGCUGAGGCACGAAAGUGUGGGGAUCAAACAGG
Molecule: ribosomal RNA, 253 nt
Filed under: uncultured bacterium
Lineage: Bacteria
Description: partial 16S ribosomal RNA
Rfam family: Bacterial small subunit ribosomal RNA
Source: RNAcentral